AUGGCGAUGCCAAGAGUGUUAAAAAUAGCAUGUGAUGGAUCCAUAGUGAUGGCCAAUGUCAAUGUUCAUGGUGAUGGCAAACUCUGUGAGGGUCACAGUGCCUUUGCAAUUAGAACUGAAAAGCAUCAGACAGCCUGGGCAAUCAAGAUGGAGUCUCACACCCAGGUCUUCAUAUUCCUGCUCCUCUGGUUGUCUGGUGAUGAGGGGAACAUUGUGAUGACCCAGACUCCUGAAUUCAUGUCCACAUCUGUUGGAGAAAGAAUUAGCCUUAGCUGCAAGUCUAGUCAGAGUGUGAGUGGUUUGGUAUCUUGGUACCAGCAGAAACCAGGGAAGCCUCCUAAACUGCUGAUCUAUGAUGCAUCCGAUAGAUACACUGGAGUCCCUGAUCGCUUCACAGGCAGUGGAUCUGGAACAGAUUACAUUCUCAGCAUCAGCAGUGUGCAGGCUGAAGACCUGGCAGGUUAUUACUGUCUGCAGUAUGACAGCUAUCCUCCCACACCCUGCGAGGCCUGCCUGUACCAUUUCAGGACUUUAGUCACUGAGCAUGAAAGAUCAUCAUGCUUGCGGAAAACACUGAGGCUUCAGCUUCCAGGUUUCAUGAGAGAACUUCCUAGUAUGAAAUUUGAAGAUAAUUUUUAUUCUGAGACAUUAAAUGGGAGAUACUCAGUGGGCACUACUCUAUAUAACAAUAUUACUGGGUUUCUGAUCAUUGGGACAAGACAAUAG
Non-coding RNA from Meriones unguiculatus (Mongolian gerbil), 726 nucleotides. The record is from the annotation of a RefSeq genome assembly. Lineage: Eukaryota; Metazoa; Chordata; Mammalia; Rodentia; Muridae.